Molecule: ribosomal RNA, 808 nt
Filed under: Podosphaera astericola
Lineage: Eukaryota; Fungi; Ascomycota; Leotiomycetes; Helotiales; Erysiphaceae
Description: eukaryotic LSU rRNA
Rfam family: Eukaryotic large subunit ribosomal RNA
Source: RNAcentral
CAGUAACGGCGAGUGAAGCGGUAACAGCUCAAAUUUGAAAUCUGGCUCCUCGGGGCCCGAAUUGUAAUUUGUAGAAGAUGCUUUGGGUCUGGGCCUGGCCUAAGUUCCUUGGAACAGGACGUCGUAGAGGGUGAGAAUCCCGUAUGCGGCUGGCGCCCGUGCCCGUGUAAAGCUCUUUCAACGAGUCGAGUUGUUUGGGAAUGCAGCUCUAAAUGGGUGGUAAAUUUCAUCUAAAGCUAAAUAUUGGCCAGAGACCGAUAGCGCACAAGUAGAGUGAUCGAAAGAUGAAAAGCACUUUGGAAAGAGAGUUAAACAGUACGUGAAAUUGUUGAAAGGGAAGCGCUGGCAACCAGACUUGGGCGCUGUUGAUCCGCUAGGGUUCUCCCUAGGGCACUCGGCAGCGCGCAGGCCAGCAUCGGUUUGGGGGGUUGGAGAAUGGCUGGUGGAAUGUGGCUGUCUUCGGGCAGUGUUAUAGCCACCGGUGGCAUGCAGCCUCCCCGGACCGAGGACCGCGCUUCGGCUAGGAUGCUGGCGUAAUGGUUGUCAGCGACCCGUCUUGAAACACGGACCAAGGAGUCUAACAUCUAUGCGAGUGUUUGGGUGUUAAACCCAUACGCGGAAUGAGAGUGAACGUAGGUGAGAACCCGUAAGGGUGCAUCAUCGACCGAUCCUGAUGUCUUCGGAUGGAUUUGAGUAAGAGCAUAGCUGUUGGGACCCGAAAGAUGGUGAACUAUGCCUGAAUAGGGUGAAGCCAGAGGAAACUCUGGUGGAGGCUCGCACCGGUUCUGACGUGCAAAUCGAUCGUCAA